RNAcentral lists this ribosomal RNA (253 nucleotides) under uncultured bacterium. RNAcentral's name for it is "partial 16S ribosomal RNA". It matches the Rfam family "Bacterial small subunit ribosomal RNA", at positions 524 to 776 of the family's 1533-position model. The record is from RNAcentral.
UACGUAGGGGGCUAGCGUUGUCCGGAAUCACUGGGCGUAAAGCGCACGUAGGCGGCUUUUUAAGUCAGGGGUGAAAUCCUGGAGCUCAACUCCAGAACUGCCUUUGAUACUGAAGAUCUUGAGUUCGGGAGAGGUGAGUGGAACUGCGAGUGUAGAGGUGAAAUGCGUAGAUAUCGUAAGGAAGACCAGUGGCGAAGGCGGGUCUCUGGACAGUUCCUGACGCUGAGGCACGAAGGUCAGGGGAGCAAACGGG